This 340-nucleotide ribosomal RNA is filed under the name uncultured bacterium. RNAcentral describes it as "bacterial SSU rRNA". It matches the Rfam family "Bacterial small subunit ribosomal RNA", at positions 28 to 369 of the family's 1533-position model. The record is from RNAcentral.
GACGAACGCUGGCGGCGUGCUUAACACAUGCAAGUCGAGCGGUAAGGCCCUUUCGGGGUACACGAGCGGCGAACGGGUGAGUAACACGUGGGUGACCUGCCUUUAGCUCUGGGAUAAGCCUGGGAAACGUGGGUCUAAUACCGGAUAUGACCCUAUGGCGCAUGUUGUGGGGUGGAAAGCCUUGUGCGGCUAGGGAUGGGCCCGCGGCCUAUCAGCUUGUUGGUGGGGUGAUGGCCCACCAAGGCGACGACGGGUAGCCGGCCUGAGAGGGCGACCGGCCACACUGGGACUGAGACACGGCCCAGACUCCUACGGGAGGCAGCAGUGGGGAAUCUUGCGC